UAAAAGGUCCUCUAAUUCUCUUUGAAUUCGGAGAUUCGGCCACCGAUCUGGGCCAAAUCUCCACCAAAUCAAAUCAGGGACUGAAGCUUUGCACAGUCCUACUACAUGUAUUUGCAAAUAUUUUACAUCUUAUUAUAAGCUAUAAGUACAUGCUACUUUGGGAAUACAGGUUAUAUUAAUAGAGAUAUGGAUUUCUUACUAUAUAAAAAGGCUAUUUAAUGAUGCAACUAGUUAUUCACAUAGGAAGCUGUUUGGCUAUAAAAUAUUUCUAUUUUGGAAAUUAGUUAUCUGUCAGUGCUUAAACAAUGUCUUUACCAAAUUCAGUAAGAAAAGAGUCACAUUUCCAAAGCUUGGAAUUUGAUGGAUGACUAUUUAAUCCAAAGACUAUUUAAGAACUAAUUAAACCUAAAAGUAUUAUUUUCAGAUGUAAAUGUUUUUGGACUCAUUUAAAACAUAAUAUCUAAUUCUGUCAAUUAAAUACUGCCCACAGUAAAACUGAAAGGAAUAUCUGAUAAAAUAAAAAUUAAACUGAAAAGAAGAGUUAAAGCUAAACUAGCAAGAUGUUCUGAACUUCCUGCCAAAAACAAAGGAAGUAUAAUUAAUUUGUUUAAGCUUAUAUAAAUAUAUCCCACUCUAUCCAGAAGUACCAAAGUAACUACUUAAGGGAAAGCUACAAUCAUAUUGCAUAUAUAUUAGAAGAUUUCAUUUUUAGGACCUAAAUUUCUUAUUAAGGUCUAUGAAUGAAAAAGUUUAAUCAAUUACAGCAUACCAACAACUAAAAUUUUAAAAUAAAUUAUGGCUACCACCAAGGUCAUAAUAUAAAAUAAUGUAGCAGGCUCACCUUUCAGAGCUUGGGUUGAGUUCCACGCUUGAGAUCCUGCUGUUUUGAUUGGUGGAGCCCAUCCACCAUUCAGGAGGCAGCAGGAAAAAUAAAGUCACGCCCCUUUCCUGAGGGGAGGGGGAGAAGAGCUCCCCCAGACCUGAUUGAAGACUGUAAACUGUCAGGUCCAGAAGACUUCAGGGGCAGAGCCCUAGAGCGUAUAAAAGGAUCUAUGUGCCCAGCACGAGGGGCAGAUGCAGUGAGGGAUUCAAGAAGAGUGAAGCCAAGAAAAGCUGGGGAGCUGUCCCCAAGUAGGCAAUAGGCCCAAGGCUCCUGAAGCUGCCGCUGGAGGAGCAGCCUUGGGAGUUGUGUGAGACUGCUUGGGCUCUUGAUGGUGCAUAGGGAUGGUGCAUGGAGACCCGGCCCUGGAAGUGGUGUGAGACUGCUCAGGCCCAUCAUGGUGCACAGUUCGGUAUGUAGAGCCCAGGCUUUGGGAGUCACAAGCAGUGGCUUGAGCCUGCAACCCUGUCAGGGCCUUGGGAGCUGCAGUGAGGCAACUGAGGCCCCAUCUCCCAGCAAGCAGCCAGGUCCCACAGUGUGCAGGGCGGCAUAUGGGCCUGAGCCUUGGGAGCCAGGGAGCAGAAGUUGUGCUGUGGUGUGAGGCCCAGCACCCAGAAGCUAGCAGCGGUGGUACAGCAGCUGAAAGGAGUUGAACCCUCAAUGCCCAGAGUGGGUCACAGGGUGGGGAGGAGCCCAGCAGCACAAGAGAGGCCUGGAGACGUGCUCCAGCAGAGGAGACCCCAUCAAGCUGCACCCUGACCGCUGCCACCUGAGGGACCGUGAGUCAUUGGGCUCUUGGGUCCCACAGGGGAAAGACAUUUGGGGCAGGCUAACCCAGAGAAGGUGCUGGGUGAGCAUCCCUCCUGCCUAGUCAAGGCCCUAAGGGGAGGGGCCCCUGGUUCUUCCUGGAUACCCCACAAGAAGCCCCAUUGGAAGGAGGACUAUCUCUUGCCAUGGGUCAGGGACUAUAUUAAGGGAUAGAUGUUAUUAAGAUUGUUCAUGUUUGCACCUUAUAUUUUGUAAUUGAAAUGUUGUAUUGUGAUGUUGUAAAUAGUGUUAUUUAGGGUUUGACCUUGGUUACUGGUUAGUGUUCACUGUGUAAAUAUAUGUAUAUGAUAUUUAGUUUUGUGUUUAUGUAUAUUAUAACCUAAUAAAUUGUAUAUAGUUAAGAACUUUGGGCUUGGGCUAACUCUAUAGAUGAAAGAGGGAUCUGCUUGAAAUUCUGGCAUCCCUCACAGCACCCCCUCCUGUCAUCCCAUUCAAUUAAGAAUAGGGAACACCCUUGGGUGUACCUGGGUUAUAAUAAAAUCCUUCUGAACUGAGCAAGCAACUACUUUCUGUUCACAGCUCUUAACUUCAGCACUCAACACUUAGCAGAACACUCUAUGCAGCAUGUUCAUCCUCCCAGCUCAGCCUGUUUAUAUCUCUUCAAAUGAACAACCAAUCAAUCAACAUCUUCAGCAGCAAUCAGACAGCUAAAUACAAAGAACUCCCAGAAUGACACCAAGCAGGUCCUUGAGUAUAUUUUUCUAAGUAAUUCUACCAAGUACACCCCUGAAACAUGGAAGAUGCCAAAUUUCAGCUGAUUCUGGAUCUUAAACUUCAUUGCAGAACAACAAGAUUUUUUUUUACCUCCCUGACUCCCAUCUGACACCUUCAGGGAAGGAAUUCUACCUGAUCAACAUGUCAAAGAGCUACUCAACACAGCUCACAAAGACACUCUCAUGGACCCAGAGGGACAUACUUCCAUCUUCAGCUCCCUCUGUGCAAACAUUAAGUUUAUUUCCUACCUAUGGGGACUUUUUACCAUCUUGUACCAGAGCCUGAUGAAGGGACUUUGAUUCUGAAAGCUUGCAGAAAAGGACAAUUUUCUUGCCAUUUUCCAGUUGGUCUAAUAAAAGGUAUCAUUUUGGAACCAAGAGUUCUAGUUUUUUGUAUGUCUUCUUCUAAGUAAUUGAGCUAAAUAUUUUUUGGUUUCACAUGA
Long non-coding RNA from Alligator mississippiensis (American alligator), 2864 nucleotides. RefSeq lists it as uncharacterized. The transcript has 2 exons. The record is from RefSeq and is a predicted model, not a curated record. Lineage: Eukaryota; Metazoa; Chordata; Crocodylia; Alligatoridae.